CCCAGUGGUAAGUCAGCUGCCCUGUGCUUUGCUGUGCCUGUGCUGGCGUUACAUCACUGGGAAAUGAAUGGCUGAUAACCUGGCAGUUAAUUGUUGCCGUUUUGGUGAUGGUUAACAAUACGCCAGGGCAGCACUGCAUCCUAGAGUGGACCACUGCAUUCACCUGUAUGGGUGGUCCUAGUACGGUUGCAUACAUG
Small nucleolar RNA from Amblyraja radiata (thorny skate), 197 nucleotides. RefSeq annotates it as small nucleolar RNA SNORA74. NCBI's taxonomy places the organism in Eukaryota, Metazoa, Chordata, Chondrichthyes, Rajiformes, Rajidae. The record is from RefSeq and is a predicted model, not a curated record. The transcript has a single exon.